UAAUCCCAUUUCUAGAGCUCGCCAAGCUAAUAGCUCAAAGGGGUCACAAAAUCUCCUUUAUAUCUACUCCACGAAACAUCCAGCGUUUACCAACUAUACCUCCAAAUUUAACACCACGAAUCAAUUUAGUGAGCCUCGCUUUACCCCAUGUAGAAAAUCUCCCAAACAACGCAGAGGCCACCGCAGACUUGCCUUUCGACAAAAUUCCAUACCUUAAGAUAGCCUAUGACAGACUCCAAGAUUCUUUAUUUCACUUCUUACAUUCUUCUUCUCCAGAUUGGAUCAUCUUUGAUUUCGCUUCCUACUGGUUACCUGAGAUAGCAACCAAGCUUGGGAUCUCUGGUGUUCUCUUUAGCAUUUUUGGUGCAUGGACCCUAUCCUUCGCUGGACCAUCAUACUCAGCAAUACUCAACGGCGACGAUCCAAGGACCGAACCGCAGCACUUCACGGUCCCUCCAAAGUGGGUCACAUUUCCCUCUAAAGUGGCAUUUCGCAUCCAUGAAGCUAAGCGGUUUUUGGUUCAAAUAGAAGCGAACAGUUCAGGUGUCACUGAUAUAUUUCGUUGGGGAUCCGUGCUUGCUGGCUGUGAUGUUAUAGCCGUAAGGAGCUGCUUAGAGCUAGAGGCUGAUUUCUUAAGACUUGUGGAAGACCUUCACUGUAAGCCUGUAAUCCCAGUAGGCCUACUGCCACCACCUGCUCAGUGUAGCGAGGGCGGGGUGGAUGAAAAAUGGGUUACGAUCAGUGAGUGGCUAGACAAGCAAACCCAAGGAUCUGUGGUUUACAUAGCGUUCGGAAGCGAGUUAACAAUAAAUCAAGAUGAAAUAACUGAAUUGGCUCUGGGGUUAGAGUUAUCGGGUCUGCCGUUCUUUUGGGCUUUGAGGAACCAGGAUGACUCGGUCAGGUUACCAGAUGGAUUUGAUGAACGAGUAAAAGGACGUGGAGUGGUGUGGACGAGCUGGGCACCACAACUAAGGAUUAUGGCUCAUGAAUCGGUUGGGGGUUUUUUGACUCACUGCGGUUAUAGCUCAGUUAUAGAGGCACUCUCCUUUGGACUUGCUUUGAUCAUGUUGCCUUUCGCUAUAGACCAAGGAUUAAUCGCAAGGGUUUUUGAAGGGAAGAAGGUUGGGAUAGAAGUGCCGAGAGAUGAGCAGGACGGGUCGUUUACGAGGAACUCGGUAGCUGAGUCACUCAGGUUGGUUAUUGUUGACAGGGAAGGAUCCGCCUAUAGAGAAAAUGCCAAGCAGCAGAUGGUAACAUUAUUUGGUGAUAAGAGUAUCAGCGAUCGAUGCAUGGACCAAUUUGUUGCCUUCCUACGAAGUCAUAGAAAAUUGCCAGCAGUGAUUAACAAUGACCUGCCCACGCACUCGCCAAACUGACACGUGUCAAUGCUUAUGUGUCGUGUCAUCUGGUUCUUCACUAGGUUUUUUUAAAAAGAGUCCGGAGGUUUAGACUCUAGAGUGCCUUUUUACUGUGUUUUUUUGUUUGUUUGUCUGUUUAUGUAGUGUAUAAAUAGACCAUUGAGUCGCUUCCUGAAACUAAAAUUUGUUUUCGAGAAAUUUAUGUAUUAUAUUAUAUCUAAAUAUUUACUUUAUUAAUUAUUAACAAAAAAACUGGAACUUCAAAAAACACAAAGGUACUACAAAAUUGAAAGCCGUGAUUGUCGGCAGGCAUUUGCGAAGAGAGGGGCCAUCAGCCAUGGCCCGUAGGAAGGAGGACUGUGGCUAAGAUUCCUUUAGGUUUUUUACCUGUCUCCCUCACUAAUAUUUUACUUUCUUCUGAAAAAAGGAAUUGCACAUUAAUCUCAUAUCUAAUUUCCAGCAAAUUCAUGCUAAUUAAAAAUCAUAUUUUCAUAUUGAAACAUUUUAACACAGAAAGAUCCACCGACAUUUGAAAAUUUCCCUUUCUGUUUAUUACACAACUUUCUCUGGAAAAUAAAUAGUCAGGUUCACAGAAAGCUUGGGGAAAUUUCUCACCGAUUAGUCACUGAUAGAAAGCCUAAACACGUGUUCUGCAAUGAUCUGCGCAGAUCCGUUAAUCUCCGGUGGGCGGUCAUUCACGAGGAAAUUUAAUUACGAGCGAUGGCAUUAUUGGCAUGCCCUACUCAAUUAUUUUUUGAGAAGUGACAUCUUAACUCCCUAUGCUCCAAAGGAAUACCUACCUACAAGAUCCCAAGCCAAGAGAAAAUGGAACGAAGAUGUCCACAUCAAAUAUAUAUAUAUAAAGAAGGAGGAGGAGGAGGAGGAGGAGGAACGAAGAUGUGAAAUGCAGGAGUCCAGAUCGAAGCCCACAUCAAAUAUAUAUAUAUAUAUAUAUAUAUAUAUAUAUAUAUAUAUAUAUAUAAGAUGGAGCCACGAAAAGCCACGUUAGGAAGGAAAAUAAAACAAAUCAGGAGUCAAGAUCGAAGCCCACACUUGAGAGAAGAUAAGAUUAUAAUUGAGCUGCUGGCCUGAGGCCUGUGGGUGUGCAUGCACCAGAGACAGUUGGAUAGGAGACAGACAGAGAUCAGACAUCUUGGUUUUGCAUUAGGUCCCCAUGUCAGUAAAUUUCAAACAAUUUAAGACAGAGACAGAGAAUUUAUUAAAUUAUUUUUUUUAAUAAUUUAAGACCAUAUAAUUUUAAGAUUCAAUAAAUUUAAUUUCCUUACUUUUCUCUGUGUCCGUCUCUAAUUGUGAGCCAAAGCUGUCGCAAAUCAUCCAUUUUGGAUAAUAAAUACAGUGUGCCACACAUUAAGCCCUUAACUCAAAAAACCAUGGGUACAAGAUUAUAACAGACCCACAGAGAGAAAAGCAAAAAAUAAAAUUAAAGCUGAGAUUAAUUCUCAAAAACAUAUAUGAUGAAGCAUGAAAUUGAGAUUUGUUUUUUUAAAAAAAUCAAAACUAAUCUAUGUUAACCAUUAAAACUUGUAACCUUAAUCAAGAGGCCAAAACCGACCAUAUAGAAGACAGAUCUUGAAAACUACAAAGCAAAAUUCUUAAUAAAAAAAAUAUGUUUAGAGAUGAAAUUAAAAAAAUAUUUAAAAAAAACAAUGAAAAAAAAUUAAAGUAAACUCGAGAUCAAGUUAACCCCACGACAAGGAAAGUGAAAAAAAAAAGCAUGAAGACCAAUAUAAAAAAAAAUUUGAAGGAUAAAAUUGAAAAUAAAUCAAAUUUAUAAACGAAUCUAGAAAACAAAUAUCAACCCAUAUUAAUUUUUGAAACCUGUGACUUGGCCAUAAGACUGUAGCUAACCUUAUAGAAGUGAAAAAACAAUGAAAAAAAAUUAUCAACAAAAAAAAUAUCAAGGAAUUAAAUUGGAACAAAAAUACAAUAAAAAAGCAUUCUAAGCAAAACAAUACAAUAAUAAAAAAUAGGAACCAAUCUCGAUAUAAAAAUAAAUUUAAAUCAAAUACUUAGAGAUACAAUUAAAAACAAAGUUUAAUUAGUAAAAAAGCAAAAAAAAUCAAUACAUUAAAGACCGGGUUUGAUAUGAAUAUCAAAUUAAAAUAAUGACAAAGAUAAAAAUAAAAAUAAAAAUUAAUUAAUAUAAGAUAAAAAAACAAAAAAACGUAAUAAUAAAAAAAUUUGAUUCAAAGGAUAUCAAAGUUGUUUUACUUUGUAUAAUGUAAAAAGACAAAUACAUCCCAUUAAUGUGUUAAUGCCCAAUAGACCCUUAUUAAAAGACCAAAAUAGUCUUUAGGUAUUUGGUUUGCUUUUAGAAAGAUAAAACAGAAAUGCUGGUGUAUUUAUUUUUUCAGUUAAAAAAUGCUUUAAAUUUAAUUAUAUAUAUGUUUUUAGAUUGUUUUGAUGAUAAAAAUAACUUUUAAAAAAUAAUAAAAAUCUAUAUUAAAAACUUUAAAAAACAUCUAUUAAUACAAUUUCAAAGAGUACGAGCCAGCUUCCCCAUCAAAUACUCGUUGUUAUACAUAGACAGCAAACAACAUACAGAAUUCACUUGCGGCUCUGUACUAGAGACAGCAUCAGUCAAUACCACCAGAUCUGGAAGAAUUUUUCAUUCGCAGCCAAAACCUACCAAUACUAAUAUAACUCGUAGUCAAUAGCAUCUUGCAACGACGAUCCCUCCGUAUCUUGUGAUCCUGCCCUGCAAAGAAAAGGGGCAGUGAUAAAAUAUAAAUGUAAAAUACAAUACACACACACACGCACCAAUCCAUAAUGAUCAUCUGCAAUGCCUUGCACCGACCCGUUUGGUUGCAUAACUAACCGUUGUUGCAAGUAAGGUACGCUCGUUGACGAACGGCGACGACGUCUUAUCUAAAAUAUACAUGAAACAUAUUUAUUUAUUUAAUCUUUCCUGUUUUUCUGAGAAUGAAAUGAAUUGGCUUGAUUAUUUACACUGCAGAUGAAUGAACCCUUUGUUUUCUGCAGAAGAGAAAAGGCCGAAGGGGGCAUUUUGAAUUUGGCACCCCUUAGUUUUGGGCUUCUGGCGGUCCCAUGUCCAGACCAUCCUUGGGCCUUUUGUUUUUGGGCUACACGAAGGGAAGUUGAGCGCUUAUGCUGAAAUCUUGUGCCCUUGUCUUCAGGGCUUCAAGCCGGCCAUCCCUAUGGCUAGGAGUCAGGAACUUUAAUUAUCGCGCCUAAAUUUUAAUUUGUUUUUUUUUAAGUUAUAAAACAGAUUGUGAGAUUUUUUUAGAAAAAUAAAAUAAUCUUUAAAUAAAACGUGAAGCAUUAUCUUUAUCUGAUUUAAUAAUAAAUAAACGAAUUUAAUAGUAUGGCUCAUUUUUCAUUAAUUUAUAAUGGUUUAGAUUCUUUUUCAUAUCUAUGUAAUAACCAGUUUUCUCAUAUGUAUUCUUAAAUUAGAGAAUUUCGAAGAGCUUUUAUUUCUUAUCCAUAUAAUAGAAUGGAGUGGUUGUUGUUAUCGUCCUCGUCGUCAUGAUGGGAGGAUAGUAAUAUAUCAGGUAUUAAUGAAGUCAUCGAUUUUCAUGUAAAAAAAUUUACAAUAAUAAUUCAAUUUCGAAAUAAAAAACUCUCAUUCGCUAGCUAUAUAUAUAUAUACACAUGGAAUACAGGAUAAGAAGCUAAAGCCACAAAAGCAUUUAGAUCAGGAAGUAUCAAUGGAUGAACCUCACGAGCUCCACAUAGCCAUGUUCCCAUGGCUUGCUUUCGGUCAUAUAAUCCCAUAUCUAGAGAUCGCCAAGCUAACAUCCAACGUUUACCAACUAUACCUCCAAAUUUAACACCGCGAAUCAAUUUUUAAUGCAUGGACCAUAUCCUUCUCUGGACCAUCAUCCUCAGCUAUGCUCAACGGCGACGAUCCAAGGACCGAACCGCAACACCUCACGGUCCCUCCAAAGUGGGUCACAUUU
RNAcentral lists this long non-coding RNA (5299 nucleotides) under Populus trichocarpa (black cottonwood). RNAcentral describes it as "long non-coding RNA (PTRI_LNC002587)". The record is from RNAcentral. Lineage: Eukaryota; Viridiplantae; Streptophyta; Magnoliopsida; Malpighiales; Salicaceae.